UGGGGAAUUUUGGACAAUGGGCGAAAGCCUGAUCCAGCCAUGCCGCGUGCAGGAUGAAGGCCUUCGGGUUGUAAACUGCUUUUGUACGGAACGAAAAGACUCUGGUUAAUACCUGGGGUCCAUGACGGUACCGUAAGAAUAAGCACCGGCUAACUACGUGCCAGCAGCCGCGGUAAUACGUAGGGUGCAAGCGUUAAUCGGAAUUACUGGGCGUAAAGCGUGCGCAGGCGGUUAUAUAAGACAGAUGUGAAAUCCCCGGGCUCAACCUGGGAACUGCAUUUGUGACUGUAUAGCUAGAGUACGGCAGAGGGGGAUGGAAUUCCGCGUGUAGCAGUGAAAUGCGUAGAUAUGCGGAGGAACACCGAUGGCGAAGGCAAUCCCCUGGGCCUGUACUGACGCUCAUGCACGAAAGCGUGGGGAGCAAACAGGAUUAGAUACCCUGGUAGUCCACGCCCUAAACGAUGUCAACUGGUUGUUGGGUCUUCACUGACUCAGUAACGAAGCUAACGCGUGAAGUUGACCGCCUGGGGGAGUA
RNAcentral lists this ribosomal RNA (535 nucleotides) under uncultured bacterium. RNAcentral's name for it is "partial 16S ribosomal RNA". It matches the Rfam family "Bacterial small subunit ribosomal RNA", at positions 355 to 882 of the family's 1533-position model. The record is from RNAcentral.